RNAcentral lists this ribosomal RNA (306 nucleotides) under uncultured Acidobacteriota bacterium. RNAcentral describes it as "bacterial SSU rRNA". It matches the Rfam family "Bacterial small subunit ribosomal RNA", at positions 1161 to 1465 of the family's 1533-position model. Lineage: Bacteria; Pseudomonadati; Acidobacteriota. The record is from RNAcentral.
AAACGGAGGAAGGUGGGGAUGAUGUCAAGUCAUCAUGGCCUUUAUGUUCAGGGCUACACACGUGCUACAAUGGAUGGUACAAAACGUCGCAAUCCCGCAAGGGGGAGCUAAUCGCGAAAACCAUUCUCAGUUCGGAUUGAAGUCUGCAACUCGACUUCAUGAAGUUGGAAUCGCUAGUAAUCGCAAAUCAGCAUGUUGCGGUGAAUACGUUCCCGGGUCUUGUACACACCGCCCGUCACAUCACGAAAGUAGGUUGUACUAGAAGUAGCUGGGCCAACUCGCAAGAGAGGCAGGUUACCACGGUAU